Molecule: ribosomal RNA, 250 nt
Filed under: uncultured bacterium
Lineage: Bacteria
Description: partial 16S ribosomal RNA
Rfam family: Bacterial small subunit ribosomal RNA
Source: RNAcentral
UACGAAGGGGGCUAGCGUUGUUCGGAUUUACUGGGCGUAAAGCGCGUGUAGGCGGACUGGAAAGUUGGGGGUGAAAUCCCGAGGCUCAACCUCGGAACUGCCUCCAAAACUUCCAGUCUGGACUCAAGUAGAGGCAAGUGGAAUUGCGAGUGUAGAGGUGAAAUUCGUAGAUAUUCGCAGGAACACCAGUGGCGAAGGCGACUUGCUGGACUUGUAGUGACGCUGAGACGCGAAAGCGUGGGGAGCAAAC